GGGGAAUUAGCUCAGUUGGCUAGAGCGUCGGCUUUGCAAGCCGAAUGUCAGGGGUUCAAAUCCCCUAUUCUCCA
This is a non-coding RNA of Treponema sp. JC4, 74 nucleotides long. Lineage: Bacteria; Pseudomonadati; Spirochaetota; Spirochaetia; Treponematales; Treponemataceae. The record is from Rfam.